Microcebus murinus (gray mouse lemur) is the source of this 1672-nucleotide non-coding RNA. Lineage: Eukaryota; Metazoa; Chordata; Mammalia; Primates; Cheirogaleidae. The record is from RefSeq and is a predicted model, not a curated record.
CGCACCGCGGGUUCCUCCGCGUCCCCCUGUGGCUCGCCGGUGUCUGGUUACUGCCGUGAGGGCGUCUCUGUGUCAGUUGGUUCAUCCAUUGCAUCCAUUCGAGAGCCCGCCGUGCUCCCGCGCUGGUGGCGGUCUUCAGGAGCCGGGACAUAGCGGCUGUGAGGGAUAGCUGACGUGAAGCGGCAGCACCGAGGUGAGCUCAGAGCGGCAGGGCGGAGGGCGCCCCUGGGGCGGGCCGCGAGGAGUGAGGCCAGCAAGCGGGCAGCGGGCCUCGGACCCGGGCGAGUUCCUGUCCGUGGAGAGACACUGUUAGAUUUGCAUUUCAGGAUGCCCUUUUAGGGGCUGUUUAGAAGGGCGAGAAUGAAGACCUGUGCAAGAGAAGAGAAGCCGAAAAGUUUCACAGAACCGAGAAGCCAGACGAUGUCGCUUGUCAUCGACCUGCCCUCAUUUGGGAGAGCUCGAAUGCUUUCCUCCUAUCCCACAGGUCCCCUCUGAGCACUGUGGUCCAACUACUACUCAAGCCUCAACGACCAGACUUCUCAGCUCUUGGGCACACCCCUUUCCUUUCCUGCAGGCACCUACAGUCAACUGCUGAAACAAACCUUUCUGCCACCCACCCCGCCACGCCCCUGUCCGUUUCAGAAUCUCCCAUCUCUUGUGGUCCCUUAUCCACUGGUCACAGGCAACCACUAAGCACAGUCAAAUGGAGAUAUCUGUUGAUAUGUGUGUUGCCCCCUCAGGCUAUGACCCCCUCAAGGGCAUGGACAGUAGUCUUCUGAGCUCUGAUGUCACAACUCUGAGCACAGUGUCUGACAGUGGACCAAAAGGGGAGUUAAGCAACACACCUCGCUUUCCCCUGCAGGCAGAGCCCAUCCUUUCUCUCCAUCUCAAUCUUCGUGUUCUCUCCAUGGACCCCUGUGAGCCAUUCCCACUCUGCCCAGUUCAGUAGCUGCCUCACCUAGGAAGCCACCUUUCCUGUUCUGUGCCUCCACUCCUGGCAUGGCAGGGGCCCACCUCUUCCAAACCCUGCAUCACAGAUGAUAUCAGCUUUCUUAAGUCUGGCUCAUGGGAGUACCUGUGUUUUACCUCCAUGUUGAGGAAGCUAGCCUGGAUCGUUUUGGCAACUCUUCAUCUCUGGGCCUCCUCCUUACUGUCAUGUCUCCUGUGAAGUCCGAGUUGAACUGCAGACUGGAGGUUCUCUGGAUGCCGGCCUGUCUUACUCAGUGAACCCUUACGUAGAUCACCGUAAGAGUGGAGGGGGCUUCCUUUGGCUUUCGAGUUGCCACUAUUGCUUCUAGUAUGAUUAGGAACUCCAUAAACCUAUACGGAAUGGAGACCAUGCUAUUUUCAUUACCGUGUGUCUAAGGAAAUGUUUGCAUUUUUCCUUCAUUAGGUCAGUGUAAACCUGACAAAAACCAUAAAAGAUGUAGUUUCAUAAAUUGUUAAAGGUAGAAGAGCCUUAUCUUCACUGAAUGUGUUCAUUUUAUCCCCAAGGAAAUAGGGGUUCAGAUGGCAAGUGAUUCCUCUAGUUCAUAACAGAGGCAUGCUUUAUUUCAUCCAUGUUCUUUUUACUCCUCCAAUAAUUUAUAUUAUGCUUACAAUUUAUAAGGUUUUUUUCCCAAGUACUGUCAACUCUUAACUAUUUGCAACCAAUUAACUGUGGUAAAAAUAA